UUAGUGGCGCACGGGUGCGUAACGCGUGGGAAUCUGCCCUUAGGUACGGAAUAACAGUGAGAAAUUACUGCUAAUACCGUAUGAUGUCUUCGGACCAAAGAUUUAUCGCCUAGGGAUGAGCCCGCGUAGGAUUAGCUAGUUGGUGAGGUAAAGGCUCACCAAGGCUACGAUCCUUAGCUGGUCUGAGAGGAUGAUCAGCCACACUGGGACUGAGACACGGCCCAGACUCCUACGGGAGGCAGCAGUGGGGAAUAUUGGACAAUGGGCGAAAGCCUGAUCCAGCAAUGCCGCGUGAGUGAAGAAGGCCUUCGGGUUGUAAAGCUCUUUUACCCGGGAAGAUAAUGACCGUACCGGGAGAAUAAGCCCCGGCUAACUCCGUGCCAGCAGCCGCGGUAAUACGGAGGGGGCUAGCGUUGUUCGGAAUCACUGGGCGUAAAGCGUGCGUAGGCGGCCAUUCAAGUCAGAGGUGAAAGCCCAGGGCUCAACCCUGGAACUGCCUUU
Molecule: ribosomal RNA, 501 nt
Filed under: uncultured Sphingomonadaceae bacterium
Lineage: Bacteria; Pseudomonadati; Pseudomonadota; Alphaproteobacteria; Sphingomonadales; Sphingomonadaceae
Description: bacterial SSU rRNA
Rfam family: Bacterial small subunit ribosomal RNA
Source: RNAcentral